ACGGUUACAUCACAUUGAAAUACCAGUUCCAGUACGAUCACCGAAGUUAAGCAAAGCCGAUCCUGGCCAGUACCUAGAUAUGAGACCGCUUGGGAAUACCAGGUGUU
Molecule: non-coding RNA, 107 nt
Organism: Acanthosepion pharaonis
Lineage: Eukaryota; Metazoa; Mollusca; Cephalopoda; Sepiida; Sepiidae
Source: the annotation of a GenBank genome assembly